RNAcentral lists this long non-coding RNA (1359 nucleotides) under Homo sapiens (human). RNAcentral's name for it is "non-protein coding lnc-OR4F21-1:6". Lineage: Eukaryota; Metazoa; Chordata; Mammalia; Primates; Hominidae. The record is from RNAcentral.
GUAAAAAGCAUUUAGUAAACAAAAAGUAUUUUCAAUAUACAAUUAAGACUGAAAAGUAUUGAGGCCUCAUAAGCUGAACCUGACACAAUAAAUUUAAAAGGGAAACUAAUUUGGAAAUCAGAAAACCAUCUAAAGAAUUUGGGAAUUAGGCUUCUGCUGCCCUCUCUGCUACUGACGGUCAAGGCCUCCUCAUUGUAUUCUGUCCUCCAUAUCUCUGCUGAUUCCCAUUUUGUCUAUUUCCAUUUACCCCACUACUACUUGCUCAGGUCACUCUCCUUCAUUGUCGGUGUUUGUUCAAAUUCCUCAGACCCAUCCACUUCCCAUCUAAACUUCCCUCCCCUUUUCUCGCUCGUUGGCUCUACCUCCCUCCUCUGUUUUCUCCUCACUCUCCUGCCCCACCUCGACAUCCACAGCGAGGCAAUGAAGAAGCCCCUGCCAAGGAAGAGCCCGCUUCUCAGUGGGACACCGGGAAGGUAAACACCCAACAGUCACCGCUAGUGGGAGGCGAUUGUGCAGAAGCACGAGGGUUGUUACAGGAUCGGGCAGGUCCCCUACCCCAGUCUCGGACUCAGGGUCCUGUCUGAGGCGGCCACCCCGAAGCGUGGGGUUUGCGGAGACGUAGGGCCUGGCGGAGGGAAGGAUGGGGAAGCAUCUCAGGGAGGACUGGCGUCUGCCGAAUCCCAGGGCUGCCCUGAGGGGCCAAGAGGGGCGAGGGUGGGGACGAUGGAAGACAAGCCACAUGCCGAAUCGGGACCUGAGGCCGCGCGCGAUAGGAUGGGCGGACGGUGAAGAGAACUAGGGUGGAAGGGCCGGACAGGGGCGACCUCAGUGACGGAACCGGACACAGACGCAGAUCUGGCAGCUGGGCGACAGGCUUCGGAGCAUUUCCGGGCGUCGCGGGACUCCCCGCCGACAGGAGGGCGGUUGCCGAGCCUGUGACAUCCGCGGAGACCAGCAGACCCCGGGUGUGGAGGACGCCGCAGGAAGGGAACUGCGUGGCUGGGUUUGGCCACAAAAAGCGGAGGGCACUCACCCGAGCGGACCUCGGCUCCGGAGAAUCCGUUUCCGGGUCAACAAAAAACGUCGCGCGAGGGGCGGGGCCCGUACGUGCAGGGAGGGGAGGCAGAGAAAAAGGCGGGGCCGGGCCGGGGCGGGGUCUCGGGCAGGGGCGGGGAGCUUACCGACCUCCCGCCCCCGCUGCGCGCGUUUCUGGCCCUGCCAGUGUCUCCGCCGGUUGAAAGCGCGUGUCUGCGUCGGGUUCUGUUGGAGUGCGUUCGGUGUGCCGUGGGUCCGCGCUGCUUCCACCCAACUUCCUGUUAGAGUUUCUCUCCUGUCACAAUGGCAUGGUCUCGCCUCACU